AACGCACCUUGCGCUCCUUGGUACUCCGAGGAGCAUGCCUGUUUGAGUGUCAUUAAAUCAUCAACCCCGAUUGGUUUGUUUUCAAAUCUCCGGGGCUUGGACUUGGAGCGUGCUGGCGAAGGUCGGCUCCUCUGAAAUGCAUCAGCGGAAUUCAAUCUUUGGUUUCCGGAUGUCGGUGUGAUAAUCACAUUGCGCCGUCGUCCGACCUCAAAGUCCGCUCAUUAAAUGGUCUUCGGACAACUCAUCGAAUUUGACCUCAAAUCAGGUAGGACUACCCGCUGAACUUAA
RNAcentral lists this unclassified non-coding RNA (288 nucleotides) under uncultured Atheliales. Its description in RNAcentral is "sequence contains ITS2". The stretch from base 1 to 52 matches the Rfam family "5.8S ribosomal RNA", at positions 103 to 154 of the family's 154-position model. Lineage: Eukaryota; Fungi; Basidiomycota; Agaricomycetes; Atheliales. The record is from RNAcentral.